This 92-nucleotide transfer RNA is filed under the name Microbacterium murale. RNAcentral describes it as "tRNA-Leu". Lineage: Bacteria; Bacillati; Actinomycetota; Actinomycetes; Micrococcales; Microbacteriaceae. The record is from RNAcentral.
GUGCUGGUCGCGGAAGAGCGCGGCUGGAUCUGAGAUGUUCGGACUCUCGGGGCUCUUCGGGUCGAUGUGGCGUCCGAUGCGCCACCGGCGCC